Long non-coding RNA from Pan troglodytes (chimpanzee), 740 nucleotides. RefSeq lists it as uncharacterized. Lineage: Eukaryota; Metazoa; Chordata; Mammalia; Primates; Hominidae. The transcript is spliced from 3 exons. The record is from RefSeq and is a predicted model, not a curated record.
AAGGAUAAGGUUCUAAGAAGGUUCACAAGGAUGUCCCUCUUAAUCCCCUCCUGUUCUUUGUGAAAGGUGAUCUUGCAAUCACCCAAUCAAACAUGGAUCAGGGAAUGAAAAAGACCUCUAGAAAAAGAGAAGAAAGCCAGCCCUUCUUCCAUUCAGCCACAAUGACAGACAAUAGUGGGGUCCUGCUUUCUAACAAGAAUACUCCUAAGAUGCACCAGCUCUAGAGAUACUUGUCAAGGCUGCCAUGUUCACCUCGCAGUUUAGUAAGGGGAAGAAUGGAAAAUAGUUUAGAAUGCCUUAUGCUAUAAAAACAUCUUCGAUUAGUCAUGACCUGUAACAACAGCACAUAAAGAUUGAUGGUGUUGCUCUCAUUUUCAGAUGAGAACAACAGACUCAGAAAGGUUAAGAAACUUAUCCGAGGUAACCAAACUGCAAGAAAAAAAGGCUUACAGAAGAGUUUGGAAAAAAGGCCUCAGUUUCAUCUGUUUUCAAUCUCUGUUUAAGGAGAUGCUAAGGAUGUGUUUCAUAAUAAGAAUUCAAGUGACAAGGAGUCAAGUCUGUAACAACUGUGUUUAGCUGUGAGAAAAAAUCCAGAAGAAAUGCCCAUUUCCCAUUCUUCAGUAAAUUGUAUGGGAGUACAGAAAACAGAUAAACAAUAUCAACUUAAGCAACGUAUGUUUGAGUAUAUAAUAAUACUGGAAAAAUUAAGCUUGAAAUAAAAAGAAACAGAAGCAGAGAAA